Molecule: small nuclear RNA, 107 nt
Organism: Nannospalax galili (Upper Galilee mountains blind mole rat)
Lineage: Eukaryota; Metazoa; Chordata; Mammalia; Rodentia; Spalacidae
Source: Ensembl
GUGCUCGCUUUGGCAGUACACAUACUAAAAUCGAAAUGAUACAGGGAAGAUCAGCAUGGCCUCUGUGCAAGGAUGACACGCAGAUUUGUGAAGAGCUCCAUAUUUUU